This 1990-nucleotide long non-coding RNA is filed under the name Drosophila guanche. Lineage: Eukaryota; Metazoa; Arthropoda; Insecta; Diptera; Drosophilidae. The record is from RNAcentral.
CCUGGAUACGCUUUAAUUGUGUGUCCGAGCAUAGCGCGCCCCACACAGGCAGGGUAUAUUGCCAGAGGGGGGCGAUGAGUUGCCUUACCAUGAGCGAUUUGCAUUUUUUAGGCAGUUUGCUUCUUGGGCCAAUGAGCCAGCCCAGCUUUUUUGCCCUAGCCCUCAUUCUCGCUCUGAGUAGUGCAACAUGUGAUAACAUGUUUAGUUCGCUGUCUAAUUUAACGCCUAGGUAAGUGGUGCAUUUUUUGGUUUGAAUCGCUUUAUCGUUGACCAUUAUUGGGACGUUGUCAAGUAGCUUCCUCCUUCUCGUGAAUAUGACAUGUGCCGUCUUAUCUGCGUUGAUUGUGAUGGACCAUUUUCUAGUCCAUUGGAGUAGCUCCCUCAGGUAGCCGUUGUUAAGCCUAGUCGCUGAUGAUGGGAAAUCUGCAGCACUCAGGAUGGCCGUAUCGUCUGCGUAGGUGGCUAGAAGCAUUCUCUGCCCUAUAUUGGGGAGGUCUCUGUGGACCGUAAUUGGCAUUGGCAUGUCUGAGGCAUAGAUAGAGUAUAGGAUGGGGCCCAGGACACUCCCCUGGGGGACACCCGCAGCGAUUACGCCCGUCCUCGAACGUAUACCGUCGCAGCAUUUGACUGCGAAUGAACGCUGGGAUAGGUAGCUCUCCAGGAUAGUGUAUAGGCGCAGUGGGAGGACCUGGAUGAGUUUGGAAAGUAGACCCUCAUGCCAGACUCGGUCGAAGGCCUCCGAGAUGUCCAGGAACACGGCCGAGCAGACCUUCUUAUCCUCGUGCGCCUUGAGGACGAAUUGGGCCACACGACUUAGUUGCUGUUCAGCGGCAUGCUCUUUCCUGAAGCCAAACUGGUGGGCGGGGAUGGCUUUUUUGAAGGCAUCCUCCUGCAUUAGCCGCCUCAAUAGGAGCUUCUCGAAUAGUUUUGAGAGUCCAGAAAGGAGACUUAUUGGGCGAUAGGAAGCCAUAUUUGCUGGAUUCUUUUUCGGCUUCGGGACCAUUGUAAUGAUGGCAUGUUUCCAUGCCCUCGGGAAGUGACCUAUGCGUAGGAUGGAAUUGAAGAUAAGUAUUAGGUACAGGAUAGCUUUCUUGGGCAGGAUCUUAAUGACUCCAUUGUCAAUGUUGUCUAAUCCGGGGGCCUUGUUUCUGACGAGUUGACGAAUCUCAUUCUUAACUUCUGUCAGUGUGAUUGGUUUAGUGAAUUUGUGUCCCGGUUGCUGUAUACUUAUCGCAUUGUCGUUCGCUUUUUUGGCCCUUGUCUUCUGCCAUUCGUCGAUGAUUGCUGCCCUUUCAGCGUCUGUGCUGGUGUGUUGGGGGCUGAGUCUCUCCUCGAGAUGCUUUGCGAAGGCUUCUGCCUUCUCCAGGGUACACCGUGUCCAGGUAGUGUCUUGGUUGUCUGUUAUUUUAACUGAGCAGUUAGGUAUUGGCUGUUUUUUCAUGGUUUUCGUGAUUUUCCACAGCUUGGCCAUGUCCUUGCCAUCCAUUGUGCUGACUGCUCUCAGCUUGUCAUUAACUUUGUUGAUUUUAAUUGCAGCCAUGGCCUUGUUUAGCUUAUUUUGAGCCCUUCUGUAGUUUUUCCUGGACUCUAUUGUUCUAAGUGUCAGGAAGACUCUUCUUCUAUCCUGCUUCUCUUCCCAGAGUUUCAUCGUAGGUCCAUCAAGUUUGAGGGGAGGGUAUUUUCGGGGGUUGAAGUUGGAUUUUCGUAUUUCGGUGCUAGCUUUGGCUGCAGCGUCGUUUAUAUUGUUGUGGAGGAUGGUCACCGCGUCAUCUAUAUCCUCACCCGAGUUGAUCUCAGUAUUCAGGUGGAUGGAUUGUUCUAGGUGCAAAUGGAAUGUUUUUAUAUUAGAACCCCUGGGCAGGAGUCUAAUGUUUUGGGUGGUCUUGGUAUCUGGGUUUUGUCGUCGGGAUUUGUAGAUGUGUGUUAUUAGCGGUAGGUGAUCUGAAUCAAGGUCCAUGGAGGCGUAGAUCCUGACAUGGUCGGGUUUAAU